CAGGCCGGGCUCCAGAGUAGCCCCUUCUGUCUCGCUUCUUCAGCACCGGGGCUGCCCUAGUUGGGAAGUGAGAGCUCAGCGGUAUAGUCAUUUACGAAGCGGAUGGGCUCCUGGACUCUGGGGCCUCGAACUGUUUCGGAGACUGAUGGGCAAGAGGCCCUGCAGCCUAGGGGCAGGCUGUCAGUGGCUUGGCCGGGGCCGGAGUCUGACCCGGUUGUCGGAGCUCGGCUGGUCCAAGCUUGCCUCUGCCCCCGGCUAUCCGUAUGUUCCAAAGAGGGGAUGAUUCCUUCACCUGGAUCCCAGAUUGAUGGAACAAAACUGAAGAUGACUGUGAUUGACAAACAACAUGAAGAGAAAUAAACCUUACUUGACCAAGGAGCUGUUGCAGCCACACGAUGGCAGAAACUCCAUCAUCAUGGUCCUUGAAUAAGAUGGCCUCCCCAUCUGUAAUGGG
This is a long non-coding RNA of Hippopotamus amphibius kiboko, 454 nucleotides long. RefSeq lists it as uncharacterized. The record is from RefSeq and is a predicted model, not a curated record. Lineage: Eukaryota; Metazoa; Chordata; Mammalia; Artiodactyla; Hippopotamidae. The transcript is spliced from 3 exons.